This 382-nucleotide ribosomal RNA is filed under the name uncultured bacterium. Its description in RNAcentral is "bacterial SSU rRNA". It matches the Rfam family "Bacterial small subunit ribosomal RNA", at positions 28 to 409 of the family's 1533-position model. The record is from RNAcentral.
GACGAACGCUGGCGGCGUGCUUAACACAUGCAAGUCGAGCGGUAAGGCCCUUUCGGGGGUACACGAGCGGCGAACGGGUGAGUAACACGUGGGUGACCUGCCCUCAGCUCUGGGAUAAGCCUGGGAAACUGGGUCUAAUACUGGAUAUGACUCCACGGUGCAUGUCGUGGGGUGGAAAGCCUUGUGCGGCUGAGGAUGGGCCCGCGGCCUAUCAGCUUGUUGGUGGGGUGANGGCCUACCAAGGCGACGACGGGUAGCCGGCCUGAGAGGGCGACCGGCCACACUGGGACUGAGACACGGCCCAGACUCCUACGGGAGGCAGCAGGUGGGGAAUCUUGCGCAAUGGGACGAAAGCCUGACGCAGCGACGCCGCGUGAGGGAU